GCCUGUGUAGCUCAGUGGUAGAGCACAUCCUUGGUAAGGAUGAGGUCAUGAGUUCAAUCCUCAUCACAGGCU
This 72-nucleotide transfer RNA is filed under the name Leptolyngbyaceae cyanobacterium LF-bin-369. It matches the Rfam family "tRNA". From Rfam's summary of the family: Transfer RNA (tRNA) molecules are approximately 80 nucleotides in length. Their secondary structure includes four short double-helical elements and three loops (D, anti-codon, and T loops). The record is from Rfam by way of RNAcentral. Lineage: Bacteria; Bacillati; Cyanobacteriota; Cyanophyceae; Leptolyngbyales; Leptolyngbyaceae.